AAAGUCAAAAGACAAAGGCACAGAUCCACUUUAUCUUCUUUACACGCCAUUUAUUCCUUCUUUUUCCUCCUUUUUUUUUAUUUCACAGAACAUAUGCUUAUUUAUUCCACCAACAAAAACAAACAAAGGAAAUAGAUUAUCAACAAGAUCCGUGGUUUAAUGGAGCACAUCUGAUUCUAGAUCUGAAGGUUACUUGAUCUAUUCACGUUGGGUUCAAUCCCCUGAUCCAUUCGAUUUCUUUUUUCUUAUUAAACCGGUGAGCUAUAAAUAAUUAUGAAGAUUUUCUCACAGUAGGUCUAUUGGAAACAACUUCUCCACCUUCUCAAAGAGGUGAGAUUUAUGUAUACACUAUACUUUCCAAACUCCACUUAUGCGAUUACAUCGGAAUUGUUAACAUUCAUGAAGCAUAAGCUUGAAAGUCUUUGCAGUAGAUAAAUUUGAGUUCUGACAAUUUUGGUAUGACGAAAAUUGCUUUUCUAGGAUAUAUUUUGACGGAAGAAAUCAUUUUAGUGUGUUUGGUUAUUUUGAAUUAUGGAGAGUUGUAAUUUACAUUUAACCUAUAACACAAUAAAAUUAAAAAUGUGUUCCUUCAAGAAGGCAAAUAAUUUUCAUACCUUAUAGACGAAA
Long non-coding RNA from Capsicum annuum, 627 nucleotides. RefSeq lists it as uncharacterized. The transcript has 2 exons. NCBI's taxonomy places the organism in Eukaryota, Viridiplantae, Streptophyta, Magnoliopsida, Solanales, Solanaceae. The record is from RefSeq and is a predicted model, not a curated record.